This 122-nucleotide non-coding RNA is filed under the name Notamacropus eugenii (tammar wallaby). Lineage: Eukaryota; Metazoa; Chordata; Mammalia; Diprotodontia; Macropodidae. The record is from RNAcentral.
UUAUUGUAUGAAAGGAAAGGUCAGGUCUUCUCUUGAUAAGCAUACCAGAGGUCCAAGGGGCCUUUAGCACACAUAUGCAGUUAAGGCAAGCCACUCCAUUGGAUAGCCAACUUUAUUUUUUG